RNAcentral lists this ribosomal RNA (393 nucleotides) under Triticum aestivum (bread wheat). RNAcentral describes it as "partial small subunit ribosomal RNA". The record is from RNAcentral. Lineage: Eukaryota; Viridiplantae; Streptophyta; Magnoliopsida; Poales; Poaceae.
AUGAUACUGCUUGAUGAACAGGGAACUAUGAUACAUGCCAAGGUAAUAAAACAUAUGGUUAACAAGUUCAGGCCAUUGAUCCAAGAAGGUUUAGUCUACAUGAUAGCGAAUUUUAAGGUUACAUCUACCAUGAAUUUCCGUCCAGUUGAAGGCGACAAGAUUAUUAACUUCUUGCACACAACUAAAAUUCAAUAGAUUAAGGGACUUAAAAAUAUCAGAAUAGCAGAACAAAGUUUCAUGUUUUGUAGUGUUGAAGUUCUUUCCACAAGAGAUGGCCAGAGGAUGUACUUAUCCGAUGUCAUUGGGGUAGCAAGUUAUAUAGGGAAUAUUGAAGAAACGGAGACAACUCAUGGGAUUUCCAAGAUUCGAGAUAUUGUACUUCGAAUUGAGUAA